This 497-nucleotide ribosomal RNA is filed under the name uncultured bacterium. Its description in RNAcentral is "partial 16S ribosomal RNA". It matches the Rfam family "Bacterial small subunit ribosomal RNA", at positions 28 to 507 of the family's 1533-position model. The record is from RNAcentral.
GAUGAACGCUGGCGGCGUGCCUAAUACAUGCAAGUCGAGCGAACAGACGCUGCGCUUGCUCCUUUCUCGUUAGCGGCGCACGGGUGUGUCACACGUGUAUACCCUCCCUAUCAUUCUGGUAUAACUUCGGGAAUCCGGCUCUAAUCCCGGAUAAUAUAUUGAACCGCAUGGUUCAUUAGUGAAAUACGGUUUUGCUGUCUCUUAUAGAUGCAUCCGCGCCGCAUUAGCUAGUUGGUAAGGUAACGGCUUACCAAGGCAACGCUGCGUAGCCGACCUGAGAGGGUGAUAGGCGACAUGGGAAGUGAGACACGGUCAAGACGACUAAGGGAGGCAGCAGAAGGGAAUCGGACGCAAUGGGCGAAAGCCUGACGGAGCAACGGGGCGUGAGAGAUGAAGGUGUUGGGAUCGUAAAACUGUGUUAUUAGGGAAGAACAAAUGUGUAAGUAAAUAAGCAGGUAUUGACGGUAACGAAUAAGAAAGCAACGGCUAACUACGUG